This 324-nucleotide ribosomal RNA is filed under the name uncultured eukaryote. RNAcentral describes it as "partial 18S ribosomal RNA". It matches the Rfam family "Eukaryotic small subunit ribosomal RNA", at positions 1470 to 1796 of the family's 1831-position model. The record is from RNAcentral.
CCCUUAGAUGUUCUGAACCGCACGCGUGUUACACUGAUGCAUUCAACGAGCUUUACCUUGGCCGAGAGGCCUGGGAAAUCUUUUUAGCAUGCAUCGUGAUAGGGAUUGAUUAUUGCAAUUAUUAAUCAUGAACGAGGAAUUCCUAGUAAACGCAUUUCAUCAAAAUGCAUUGACUACGUCCCUGCCCUUUGUACACACCGCCCGUCGCACCUACCGAUUGAGUGGUCCGGUGAAGUCUCGAGAUUGUGGCAAUCUCCUUUAUUGGAGUUUGACUGCGAGAACUUGCCUAAACCUUAUCACUUAGAGGAAGGUGAAGUCGUAACA